RNAcentral lists this ribosomal RNA (440 nucleotides) under uncultured bacterium. Its description in RNAcentral is "partial 16S ribosomal RNA". It matches the Rfam family "Bacterial small subunit ribosomal RNA", at positions 338 to 795 of the family's 1533-position model. The record is from RNAcentral.
CCUACGGGAGGCUGCAGUGGGGGAUAUUGCACAAUGGGGGAAACCCUGAUGCAGCGACGCCGCGUGAGUGAAGAAGUAUUUCGGUAUGUAAAGCUCUAUCAGCAGGGAAGAAAAUGACAGUACCUGACCAAGAAGCCCCGGAUAACUACGUGCCAGCAGCCGUGGUAAUACGUAGGGGGCAAGCGUUAUCCGGAUUUACUGGGGGUAAAGGGAGCGUAGACGGCUGUGCUAGUCUGUAGUGAAAGGCCGUGGCUCAACCGCGGAACUGCUUUGGAAACUGUAUAGCUUGAGUACUGGAGAGGCAGGCGGAAUUCCUAGUGUAGCGGUGAAAUGCGUAGAUAUUAGGAAGAACACCAGUGGCGAAGGCGGCCUGCUGGACAGGAACUGACGUUGAGGCUCGAAAGCGUGGGGAGCGAACAGGAUUAGAUACCCUUGUAGUC